GGUAGGAUUACCCGCUGAACUUAAGCAUAUC
Molecule: ribosomal RNA, 31 nt
Filed under: Gloeophyllum trabeum
Lineage: Eukaryota; Fungi; Basidiomycota; Agaricomycetes; Gloeophyllales; Gloeophyllaceae
Description: partial 28S ribosomal RNA
Source: RNAcentral